AACGGAGAGUUUGAUCCUGGCUCAGAAUGAACGCUGGCGGCGUGGAUUAGGCAUGCAAGUCGAACGAGAACGUGGAUUUUAUUCACAAGUAAAGUGGCGAACGGGUGAGUAACGCGUGGGAAACCUGCCCUUAAGAGGGGGAUAACAUUCCUAACGGGAUGCUAAUACCGCAUAAUAUUGCAGAUCGGAUGUUCUGUAAUCAAAGAUGGCCUCUACAUGUAAGCUGUUACUUAAGGAUGGUCCCGCGUCCAAUUAGCUAGUUGGUGAGGUAAAUGCUCACCAAGGCGACGAUUGGUAGCCGGCCUGAGAGGGUGACCGGCCACACUGGGACUGAGACACGGCCCAGACUCCUACGGGAGGCAGCAGUCGAGAAGCUUCGGCAAUGGGGGCAACCCUGACCGAGCGACGCCGCGUGGGUGAUGAAGUCUUUCGAGAUGUAAAGCCCUGUCAUUCGGGAUGAAAAGUUGAUUGGUCAACAGCCUUUUGACCUGACAGUACCGAAAGAGGAAGCUCCGGCUAACUCCGUGCCAGCAGCCGCGGUAAUACGGGGGGAGCAAGCGUUGUCCGGAAUCACUGGGCAUAAAGGGCGUGUAGGCGGGCAGCCAAGUCAGAUGUAAAAGGUCAUGGCUCAACUGUGAUUGGUCAUCUGAAACUGGUUGUCUUGAGUUCGGGAG
RNAcentral lists this ribosomal RNA (674 nucleotides) under bacterium. RNAcentral's name for it is "bacterial SSU rRNA". It matches the Rfam family "Bacterial small subunit ribosomal RNA", at positions 1 to 654 of the family's 1533-position model. RNAcentral also lists the same sequence under 1 other name. The record is from RNAcentral.